UACGGAGGGUGCAAGCGUUGCUCGGAAUUAUUGGGCGUAAAGGGUAGGUAGGUGGUCUCAUUUGUCAGGGGUGAAAGCCUUGGGCUUAACCCAAGAAGUGCCCCUGAAACGGUGAGACUAGAGUUCUGGAGAGGGUCGUGGAAUUCCCGGUGUAGCGGUGAAAUGCGUAGAGAUCGGGAGGAACACCAGAGGCGAAGGCGGCGACCUGGACAGAUACUGACACUCAACUACGAAAGCGUGGGGAGCAAACAGG
Molecule: ribosomal RNA, 253 nt
Filed under: uncultured bacterium
Lineage: Bacteria
Description: partial 16S ribosomal RNA
Rfam family: Bacterial small subunit ribosomal RNA
Source: RNAcentral